This 681-nucleotide ribosomal RNA is filed under the name uncultured Lachnospiraceae bacterium. Its description in RNAcentral is "bacterial SSU rRNA". It matches the Rfam family "Bacterial small subunit ribosomal RNA", at positions 28 to 722 of the family's 1533-position model. Lineage: Bacteria; Bacillati; Bacillota; Clostridia; Lachnospirales; Lachnospiraceae. The record is from RNAcentral.
GACGAACGCUGGCGGCGCGCCUAACACAUGCAAGUCGAACGAGCGAGAGAGAGCUUGCUUUCUCAAGCGAGUGGCGAACGGGUGAGUAACGCGUGAGGAACCUGCCUCAAAGAGGGGGACAACAGUUGGAAACGACUGCUAAUACCGCAUAAGCCCACGGCUCGGCAUCGAGCAGAGGGAAAAGGAGCAAUCCGCUUUGAGAUGGCCUCGCGUCCGAUUAGCUAGUUGGUGAGGUAACGGCCCACCAAGGCGACGAUCGGUAGCCGGACUGAGAGGUUGAACGGCCACAUUGGGACUGAGACACGGCCCAGACUCCUACGGGAGGCAGCAGUGGGGAAUAUUGCACAAUGGGGGAAACCCUGAUGCAGCGACGCCGCGUGGAGGAAGAAGGUCUUCGGAUUGUAAACUCCUGUUGUUGAGGAAGAUAAUGACGGUACUCAACAAGGAAGUGACGGCUAACUACGUGCCAGCAGCCGCGGUAAAACGUAGGUCACAAGCGUUGUCCGGAAUUACUGGGUGUAAAGGGAGCGCAGGCGGGAAGACAAGUUGGAAGUGAAAUCCAUGGGCUCAACCCAUGAACUGCUUUCAAAACUGUUUUUCUUGAGUAGUGCAGAGGUAGGCGGAAUUCCCGGUGUAGCGGUGGAAUGCGUAGAUAUCGGGAGGAACACCAGUGGCGAAGGC